AGAGACUUAGGAUAGUUAGACCAAGAGCCUUCAAAGCUCUAAGCAGGAGUUAAAGUCUUCUAGUCUCUG
This 69-nucleotide transfer RNA is filed under the name Triplophysa robusta. Its description in RNAcentral is "tRNA-Trp". It matches the Rfam family "tRNA". From Rfam's summary of the family: Transfer RNA (tRNA) molecules are approximately 80 nucleotides in length. Their secondary structure includes four short double-helical elements and three loops (D, anti-codon, and T loops). Further hydrogen bonds mediate the characteristic L-shaped molecular structure. tRNAs have two regions of fundamental functional importance: the anti-codon, which is responsible for specific mRNA codon recognition, and the 3' end, to which the tRNAs corresponding amino acid is attached (by aminoacyl-tRNA synthetases). tRNAs cope with the degeneracy of the genetic code in two manners: having more than one tRNA (with a specific anti-codon) for a particular amino acid; and 'wobble' base-pairing, i.e. permitting non-standard base-pairing at the 3rd anti-codon position. The record is from RNAcentral. RNAcentral also lists the same sequence under 4 other names. Lineage: Eukaryota; Metazoa; Chordata; Actinopteri; Cypriniformes; Nemacheilidae.